RNAcentral lists this ribosomal RNA (429 nucleotides) under Actinomycetes bacterium. RNAcentral describes it as "Actinobacteria bacterium partial 16S ribosomal RNA". It matches the Rfam family "Bacterial small subunit ribosomal RNA", at positions 355 to 776 of the family's 1533-position model. Lineage: Bacteria; Bacillati; Actinomycetota; Actinomycetes. The record is from RNAcentral.
UAGGGAAUCUUCCGCAAUGGGCGAAAGCCUGACGGAGCAACGCCGCGUGAGUGAUGAAGGUCUUCGGAUCGUAAAACUCUGUUAUUAGGGAAGAACAAAUGUGUAAGUAACUAUGCACGUCUUGACGGUACCUAAUCAGAAAGCCACGGCUAACUACGUGCCAGCAGCCGCGGUAAUACGUAGGUGGCAAGCGUUAUCCGGAAUUAUUGGGCGUAAAGCGCGCGUAGGCGGUUUUUUAAGUCUGAUGUGAAAGCCCACGGCUCACCCGUGGAGGGUCAUUGGAAACUGGAAAACUUGAGUGCAGAAGAGGAAAGUGGAAUUCCAUGUGUAGCGGUGAAAUGCGCAGAGAUAUGGAGGAACACCAGUGGCGAAGGCGACUUUCUGGUCUGUAACUGACGCUGAUGUGCGAAAGCGUGGGGAUCAAACAGG